Molecule: ribosomal RNA, 301 nt
Filed under: uncultured bacterium
Lineage: Bacteria
Description: partial 16S ribosomal RNA
Rfam family: Bacterial small subunit ribosomal RNA
Source: RNAcentral
CAGCAGCCGCGGGAAUACGAAGGGGGCUAGCGUUGCUCGGAAUGACUGGGCGUAAAGGGCGCGUAGGCGGCGAUCAAAGUCAGGCGUGAAAUUCCUGGGCUCAACCUGGGGGCUGCGCUUGAUACUUGGUUGCUUGAGUGUGGAAGAGGGUUGUGGAAUUCCCAGUGUAGAGGUGAAAUUCGUAGAUAUUGGGAAGAACACCGGUGGCGAAGGCGGCAACCUGGUCCUUGACUGACGCUGAGGCGCGAAAGCGUGGGGAGCAAACAGGAUUAGAUACCCGGGUAGUCCCUGUCUCUUAUAC